This is a long non-coding RNA of Danio aesculapii, 270 nucleotides long. RefSeq lists it as uncharacterized. The record is from RefSeq and is a predicted model, not a curated record. The transcript is spliced from 3 exons. NCBI's taxonomy places the organism in Eukaryota, Metazoa, Chordata, Actinopteri, Cypriniformes, Danionidae.
CAACCACACUGACAUACUUCAGCACAACUGAUUUGAAUCUACAAUCAACCAUCACUUUCAGGUCAAUUGAUCACACUUCAUCAACAGGGUCAGUCAUGUACGUCAUUGCUGGGUUAUCCAUCAUGGUGAUCAUCUUCCUGCUGGCGCUGACGGUGUUGUGCAAACAGAGAAAAUACAUGAAAUCACAGAGAGUUGCACAAUCAGGACUUCCGCAGCAAGUUUCUGUUGGGAUUUUGCCUUUAAAUACAAGAGUAGAGUUCAUUGAAGAGG